RNAcentral lists this ribosomal RNA (497 nucleotides) under uncultured bacterium. RNAcentral's name for it is "partial 16S ribosomal RNA". It matches the Rfam family "Bacterial small subunit ribosomal RNA", at positions 28 to 507 of the family's 1533-position model. The record is from RNAcentral.
GAUGAACGCUGGCGGCGUGCCUAAUACAUGCAAGUCGAGCGAACGGACGAGAAGCUUGCUUCUCUGAUGUUAGCGGCGGACGGGUGAGUAACACGUGGAUAACCUACCUAUAAGACUGGGAUAACUUCGGGAAACCGGAGCUAAUACCGGAUAAUAUUUUGAACCGCAUGGUUCAAAAGUGAAAGACGGUCUUGCUGUCACUUAUAGAUGGAUCCGCGCUGCAUUAGCUAGUUGGUAAGGUAACGGCUUACCAAGGCAACGAUGCAUAGCCGACCUGAGAGGGUGAUCGGCCACACUGGAACUGAGCCACGGUCCAGACUCCUACGGGAGGCAGCAGUAGGGAAUCUUCCGCAAUGGGCGAAAGCCUGACGGAGCAACGCCGCGUGAGUGAUGAAGGUCUUCGGAUCGUAAAACUCUGUUAUUAGGGAAGAACAAAUGUGUAAGUAACUGUGCACAUCUUGACGGUACCUAAUCAGAAAGCCACGGCUAACUACGUG